RNAcentral lists this ribosomal RNA (526 nucleotides) under Pantoea sp. 10619. RNAcentral describes it as "bacterial SSU rRNA". It matches the Rfam family "Bacterial small subunit ribosomal RNA", at positions 1 to 522 of the family's 1533-position model. Lineage: Bacteria; Pseudomonadati; Pseudomonadota; Gammaproteobacteria; Enterobacterales; Erwiniaceae. The record is from RNAcentral.
UGGAGAGUUUGAUCCUGGCUCAGAUUGAACGCUGGCGGCAGGCCUAACACAUGCAAGUCGAACGGUAGCACAGAGAGCUUGCUCUCGGGUGACGAGUGGCGGACGGGUGAGUAAUGUCUGGGAAACUGCCUGAUGGAGGGGGAUAACUACUGGAAACGGUAGCUAAUACCGCAUAACGUCGCAAGACCAAAGAGGGGGACCUUCGGGCCUCUUGCCAUCAGAUGUGCCCAGAUGGGAUUAGCUAGUAGGUGGGGUAAYGGCUCACCUAGGCGACGAUCCCUAGCUGGUCUGAGAGGAUGACCAGCCACACUGGAACUGAGACACGGUCCAGACUCCUACGGGAGGCAGCAGUGGGGAAUAUUGCACAAUGGGCGCAAGCCUGAUGCAGCCAUGCCGCGUGUAUGAAGAAGGCCUUCGGGUUGUAAAGUACUUUCAGCGGGGAGGAAGGUGUUGCGGUUAAUAACCGCAGCAAUUGACGUUACCCGCAGAAGAAGCACCGGCUAACUCCGUGCCAGCAGCCGCGGUA